Molecule: ribosomal RNA, 424 nt
Filed under: Acanthotermes acanthothorax
Lineage: Eukaryota; Metazoa; Arthropoda; Insecta; Blattodea; Termitidae
Description: partial 12S ribosomal RNA
Source: RNAcentral
UAAACUAGGAUUAGAUACCCUAUUAUUUUUGAUCGUUAAUUGCCUGAGUAGUAUUAGUUAUGUUCUUGAAACUUAAAGAAUUUGGCGGUAUCUUAUUCCAUUCAGAGGAAUCUGUCUCGUUAUCGAUAGUCCGCGUUGGACCUUACUUGGGUUUGUAUACCGCCGUUUAUUGAUUAUCUUUUUAGAGUCUGGUAAAUUUUCUGGUUUCUUUAUUUUGAUUUAUUUCAGGUCAAGGUGCAGCUUUUUCUAAGUGUAGGAUGGAUUACAUUGUUAUUUGUUGUUUGGAUUGUUUGGGUUUAAAUUAUUUGCAUGAAAUUGGAUUUGGUUGUAAUGUUUAUGUAGAUUGUUUUCAUGAUAAUAGGUUCUAAGAUAUGUACACAUCGCCCGUCGCUCUCGUGUUAAUGAGAUAAGUCGUAACAUAGUA